This 384-nucleotide ribosomal RNA is filed under the name Escherichia coli. Its description in RNAcentral is "bacterial SSU rRNA". It matches the Rfam family "Bacterial small subunit ribosomal RNA", at positions 1 to 381 of the family's 1533-position model. The record is from RNAcentral. Lineage: Bacteria; Pseudomonadati; Pseudomonadota; Gammaproteobacteria; Enterobacterales; Enterobacteriaceae.
AAAUUGAAGAGUUUGAUCAUGGCUCAGAUUGAACGCUGGCGGCAGGCCUAACACAUGCAAGUCGAACGGUAACAGGAAACAGCUUGCUGUUUCGCUGACGAGUGGCGGACGGGUGAGUAAUGUCUGGGAAACUGCCUGAUGGAGGGGGAUAACUACUGGAAACGGUAGCUAAUACCGCAUAAUGUCGCAAGACCAAAGAGGGGGACCCUCGGGCCUCUUGCCAUCGGAUGUGCCCAGAUGGGAUUAGCUUGUUGGUGGGGUAACGGCUCACCAAGGCGACGAUCCCUAGCUGGUCUGAGAGGAUGACCAGCCACACUGGAACUGAGACACGGUCCAGACUCCUACGGGAGGCAGCAGUGGGGAAUAUUGCACAAUGGGCGCAAG